Molecule: long non-coding RNA, 340 nt
Filed under: Lynx canadensis (Canada lynx)
Lineage: Eukaryota; Metazoa; Chordata; Mammalia; Carnivora; Felidae
Description: lncRNA (ENSLCNG00005015020.1)
Source: RNAcentral
CCUAGAUGUCAUUCAGUUUAUGCAUACAGCAUGGUAUCCAGUGCAGGCCUUCAGCAGAUUCAAACAUUUUUUAAUUGAGUAACUAGUUUACUCUGAGUUCAACAUACAGAAAUAGCUAAUCCUCCGGUUCUCAAAAUACGGAUCAUAUAUCCUGCGGCUCAGAAAAGGGAGUCCGGAAAUAGAGAGCAUGAGAAAACAUCUAAAGCAUCCAGAAAUCCUCUCCUGGACACCUUCCAAGAGGCAGCCUGAAUCAUCCUUCAGCCCCAGAGAAGGGGAAGCCAAUUUCAGGUGUUCAGAGGCUGAUCGAAGACUUGAGAUUGGCACAGCUUUUGAGGCCUGA